RNAcentral lists this ribosomal RNA (731 nucleotides) under uncultured bacterium. RNAcentral's name for it is "SSU rRNA". It matches the Rfam family "Bacterial small subunit ribosomal RNA", at positions 86 to 853 of the family's 1533-position model. The record is from RNAcentral.
UUCGGGUGAGCGGCGGACGGGUGAGUAAUGCGUGGGAACGUGCCCUUUGGUACGGGAUAACUGAGGGAAACUUCAGCUAAUACCGUAUGUGCCCUACGGGGGAAAGAUUUAUCGCCAUUGGAGCGGCCCGCGUUGGAUUAGGUAGUUGGUGAGGUAAAGGCUCACCAAGCCUACGAUCCAUAGCUGGUCUGAGAGGAUGAUCAGCCACACUGGGACUGAGACACGGCCCAGACUCCUACGGGAGGCAGCAGUAGGGAAUCUUGCGCAAUGGGCGAAAGCCUGACGCAGCCAUGCCGCGUGUAUGAUGAAGGUCUUAGGAUUGUAAAAUACUUUCACCGGGGAAGAUAAUGACGGUACCCGGAGAAGAAGCCCCGGCUAACUUCGUGCCAGCAGCCGCGGUAAUACGAAGGGGGCUAGCGUUGCUCGGAAUUACUGGGCGUAAAGGGCGCGUAGGCGGACAGUUUAGUCAGAGGUGAAAGCCCAGGGCUCAACCUUGGAAUUGCCUUUGAUACUGGCUGUCUUGAGUUCGGGAGAGGUGAGUGGAAUGCCGAGUGUAGAGGUGAAAUUCGUAGAUAUUCGGCGGAACACCAGUGGCGAAGGCGACUCACUGGCCCGAUACUGACGCUGAGGCGCGAAAGCGUGAGGAGCAAACAGGAUUAGAUACCCUGGUAGUCCACGCUGUAAACGAUGAGUGCUAGUUGUCGGCAUGCAUGCAUGUCGGUGACGCAGCU